RNAcentral lists this unclassified non-coding RNA (345 nucleotides) under soil metagenome. RNAcentral's name for it is "partial contains 5.8S ribosomal RNA, internal transcribed spacer 2, and large subunit ribosomal RNA". The stretch from base 1 to 120 matches the Rfam family "5.8S ribosomal RNA", at positions 35 to 154 of the family's 154-position model. The record is from RNAcentral.
GAUGAAGAACGUAGCGAAAUGCGAUACGUAAUGUGAAUUGCAGAAUUCAGUGAAUCAUCGAGUCUUUGAACGCACAUUGCGCCCCCUGGUAUACCGGGGGGCAUGCCUGUCCGAGCGUCAUUGCUGCCCUCAAGCACGGCUUGUGUGUUGGGCCUCCGUCCUCCUCCCGGGGGACGGGCCCGAAAGGCAGCGGCGGCACCGCGUCCGGUCCUCGAGCGUAUGGGGCUUCGUCACCCGCUCUUGUAGGCCCGGCCGGCGCUUGCCGACACAUCAAUCUUUUUUCCAGGUUGACCUCGGAUCAGGUAGGGAUACCCGCUGAACUUAAGCAUAUCAAUAAGCGGAGGA